GAUCAAGCACCUUAAAAUCAGACAUCUUGAACCUCAUAACAUCUCCUCCUCCUCCUCCUCCUCCCCCUCCCUCCUCCGGGUCCUCCUCAAUCACACAUCUCCUUCCAUCGCCUUCCGAUUCCAACGGAGCCGUGGCCUUACUCGACGACGAACACCUCACCACUGUCCCUACUUCUCUCCUAGAGCAAAUACUUCUCACACCGAUGAUACUACCAUUACCACGUCGUUUAAUCAAUUUCUUCGUCGACAAAUUAUCAGAAAAAGAACAGAAUCCGACUCCAUAUAUUGCCGCCGUCGCCGCCAUCAAUCGAUCAAUCCGUUACAACUCUCAGAAUUUUUUUGAUCCAGAGAGGAGUUAGUUAGCAGAAGGAAGGAGAGGAAAGUGUGAAGAAAUAGAGAAGAGAGUGUGAGAGUUGCGUGAAGGAGUACAGAGCCCUGGGCUUGGCUCGUGUCAAUGUCUGUUUUUCCAAAUAUCUCCGGCAUUUACCUCCAGUUAUUUUCUGUGUUUUGCGUUCCGUGCACACUCCUAUCUCCGCCACGUCACUUUUCG
RNAcentral lists this long non-coding RNA (550 nucleotides) under Populus trichocarpa (black cottonwood). Its description in RNAcentral is "long non-coding RNA (PTRI_LNC003393)". The record is from RNAcentral. Lineage: Eukaryota; Viridiplantae; Streptophyta; Magnoliopsida; Malpighiales; Salicaceae.